This 1384-nucleotide ribosomal RNA is filed under the name metagenome. RNAcentral's name for it is "SSU rRNA". It matches the Rfam family "Eukaryotic small subunit ribosomal RNA", at positions 137 to 1493 of the family's 1831-position model. The record is from RNAcentral.
ACUUGGAUAACCGUAGUAAUUCUAGAGCUAAUACAUGCUAAAAGCCCCGACUUUUUCGGAAGGGGUGCAUUUAUUAGAUCCAAAACCAAUGAGUGGGGGCAACUUCACUCCUCUUGAUGAUUCAUGAUAACUUUGCGAAUCGCAUAGCCUUGAGCUGGCGAUGAUUCAUUCAAAUUUCUGCCCUAUCAACUUUCGAUGGUAGUGUAGUGGACUACCAUGGUGAUAACGGGUAACGGAGAAUUAGGGUUCGAUUCCGGAGACGGUGCCUGAGAGAUGGCAACGACUUCCAAGGAAGGCAGCAGGCGCGCAAAUUACCCAAUCCGAAUACCGGGAGGUAGUGACAAUAAAUAACAAUACCGGUCCUAAAAAGGGCUGGUAAUUGGAAUGAGUACAAUUUAAACCCCUUAACAAGGAACAAUUGGAGGACAAGUCUGGUGCCAGCACCCGCGGUAAUUCCAGCUCCAAUAGCGUAUAUUAAAGUUGUUGCAGUUAAAAAGCUCGUAGUUGGAUUUUGGGGUGCGUUGGUUCCAUCUGCCCUUAACUGGGUGGGUGGAUACCUCCCGCUCGUUUACUUUGAAAAAAUUAGAGUGUUUAAAGCAGACGGUCUCCGCCACUGAAUACAUUAGCAUGGGAUAAUGGAAUAGGAUUGUCUUUCCGAUUUCGUUGGUUUCCGGAAUGGACGAUAAUGAUUAAUAGAGAUAGUUGGGGACAUUUAUAUUCCAUGGUCAGAGGUGAAAUUCUUGGAUUCAUGGAAGAUAAACAAGUGCGAAAGCAUUUGUCAAGGAUGUUUUCAUUAAUCAAGAACGAAAGUUAGGGGAUCGAAGACGAUCAGAUACCGUCGUAGUCUUAACCAUAAACGAUGCGGACAGGGAUUGGGAGACGUUACGUGGAUGACUCCCCCAGCACCUUAUGAGAAAUCAUAAGUCUUUGCGUUCCGGGGGGAGUAUGGUCGCAAGGCUGAAACUUAAAGGAAUUGACGGAAGGGCACCACCAGGAGUGGAGCCUGCGGCUUAAUUUGACCCAACACGGGGAAACUCACCAGGUCCAGACAUAGUAAGGAUUGACAGAUUGAGAGCUCUUUCUUGAUUCUAUGGGUGGUGGUGCAUGGCCGUUCUUAGUUGGUGGAGUGAUUUGUCUGGUUAAUUCCGAUAACGAACGAGACCUCAGCCUGCUAACUAGUGGGUUCAACCUUCUAUACGGGUGAAGGCUGUAACUUGGAAGGUUCCUUCGUGUUCCUUUCAUUGCAGUUGGAUCCUUGACGAGUUGGAUCUCAUAACAUUGGCGUAAAAAGCCGAUACUUCUUAGAGGGACUAUUCGCGUCUAGUGAAUGGAAGUUUGAGGCAAUAACAGGUCUGUGAUGCCCUUAGAUGUUCUGGGCUGCACG